RNAcentral lists this ribosomal RNA (138 nucleotides) under Escherichia coli. RNAcentral describes it as "partial 16S ribosomal RNA". It matches the Rfam family "Bacterial small subunit ribosomal RNA", at positions 1 to 132 of the family's 1533-position model. The record is from RNAcentral. Lineage: Bacteria; Pseudomonadati; Pseudomonadota; Gammaproteobacteria; Enterobacterales; Enterobacteriaceae.
AAAUUGAAGAGUUUGAUCAUGGCUCAGAUUGAACGCUGGCGGCAGGCCUAACACAUGCAAGUCGAACGGUAACAGAAAGCAGCUUGCUGCUUUGCUGACGAGUGGCGGACGGGUGAGUAAUGUCUGGGAAACUGCCUG